Molecule: ribosomal RNA, 165 nt
Organism: Rhizophagus irregularis DAOM 197198w
Lineage: Eukaryota; Fungi; Glomeromycota; Glomeromycetes; Glomerales; Glomeraceae
Rfam family: 5.8S ribosomal RNA
About the family: 5.8S ribosomal RNA (5.8S rRNA) is a component of the large subunit of the eukaryotic ribosome.
Source: Rfam
CACUUUCAACAACGGAUCUCUUGGCUCUCGCAUCGAUGAAGAACGUAGCGAAGUGCGAUAAGUAAUGUGAAAAAGUUAGGGGAUCGAAGACGAUCAGAUACCGUCGUAGUCUUAACCAUAAACUAUGCCGACUAGGGAUCGGAUGAUGUUAAUUUUUUAAUGACU